RNAcentral lists this ribosomal RNA (454 nucleotides) under uncultured Rikenella sp. RNAcentral describes it as "bacterial SSU rRNA". It matches the Rfam family "Bacterial small subunit ribosomal RNA", at positions 341 to 792 of the family's 1533-position model. Lineage: Bacteria; Pseudomonadati; Bacteroidota; Bacteroidia; Bacteroidales; Rikenellaceae. The record is from RNAcentral.
ACGGGAGGCAGCAGUGAGGAAUAUUGGUCAAUGGACGGAAGUCUGAACCAGCCAUGCCGCGUGAAGGAAGACGGCCCUAUGGGUUGUAAACUUCUUUUGUGGUGGAGCAAUAAGGCGUACGUGUACGUCGAUGAGAGUACAUCACGAAUAAGCAUCGGCUAACUCCGUGCCAGCAGCCGCGGUAAUACGGAGGAUGCAAGCGUUAUCCGGAUUUAUUGGGUUUAAAGGGUGCGUAGGCUGUGCAGCAAGUCAGAGGUGAAAGCCCGGUGCUCAACACCGGAACUGCCUUUGAUACUGUUGUGCUGGAAUACGGAUGCCGUGGGAGGAAUGAGUAGUGUAGCGGUGAAAUGCAUAGAUAUUACUCAGAACACCGAUUGCGAAGGCAUCUCACGAAUCCGUCAUUGACGCUGAGGCACGAAAGUGUGGGGAUCAAACAGGAUUAGAUACCCUGGUA